This 1260-nucleotide ribosomal RNA is filed under the name uncultured fungus. RNAcentral describes it as "eukaryotic LSU rRNA". The stretch from base 629 to 1260 matches the Rfam family "Eukaryotic large subunit ribosomal RNA", at positions 1 to 649 of the family's 3401-position model. Lineage: Eukaryota; Fungi. The record is from RNAcentral.
AAGUCGUAACAAGGUUUCCGUAGGUGAACCUGCGGAAGGAUCAUUAACGUAUCUCUGACGGUGAGGGCGCGCCCUGCUCCGGGAACCGAAAGGCCCCGUGCAGCGGGUGAGCCCUCGCCGCUCAACCCUUGCAAACCCACUGUGCACAUUUGUCGGCGGAGGGCCCAGUCAAUGGGCCCCGAGCCGGACCCACAAACUCCAAGCAUUAAAAGAAUGACUAGCGGACGUUGUGCCGUCUAAACUUUAACAACUUUCAACAACGGAUCUCUUGGCUCUCGCAUCGAUGAAGAACGCAGCGAAAUGCGAUAAGUAAUGUGAAUUGCAGAAUUCAGUGAAUCAUCGAAUCUUUGAACGCACCUUGCGCUCCUUGGUAUUCCGAGGAGCAUGCCUGUUUGAGUGUCUUGAAGUCAUCAACCUCUCCCGUUUUGCGACGGGUCCAGGUUGGAGCCUGGGGGCUUGCGGCCGCGAGGCUGCUCNCCUCAAAUGCAUCGGUUGGGCCUGCGGGUCGGACUCGGUUGGGCGUUGUACCAUCCUCGCUCUUAUUCCGAGAUGUUCCCCUAUUAAUGUGCCCUCCCACGACCGCCCCGUCUGGAGUCGGCGGUCAAAGCUUUNGAAGCACUUUGAAAUCUGACCUCAAAUCAGGUAGGACUACCCGCUGAACUUAAGCAUAUCAAUAAGCGGAGGAAAAGAANCUACAGGAUUCCCCUAGUANCUGCGAGUGANGCGGGAAANGCUCAANUUUGAAUCUGGCGGCUCUGCCGUCCGAGUUGUAUUCUGGAGAAGCGUCUUCCGUGCCGGACCGUGUACAAGUCCCUUGGAACAGGGCGUCGUAGAGGGUGAGAAUCCCGUCUUUGACACGGAUCCCCGGUGCUAUGUGAUGCGCUCUCGAAGAGUCGAGUUGUUUGGGAAUGCAGCUCAAAAUGGGUGGUAAAUUCCAUCUAAAGCUAAAUAUUGGCGAGAGACCGAUAGCGAACAAGUACCGUGAGGGAAAGAUGAAAAGCACUUUGGAAAGAGAGUAAAACAGUACGUGAAAUUGUUGAAAGGGAGACGCUUGAAGUCAGUCGCGUCUGCCGGAACUCAGCCUUGCUCAUGCUUGGUGCACUUUCCGGUCUGACGGGCCAGCAUCGGUUUUGGGCGGCGGACACUGGCGAGGGGAAGGUGGCAGCUCCGGCUGUGUUAUAGCCCCCCGUCGCAAACGUCGUCUGGGACCGAGGAAUCCGGCGCAAGCCUGGGAUGCUGGCGUAAUGGCUUUAAGCGACC